GGUUUCGUGUGAACAGUGGUUGAUCACGAGUUAGUCGGUCCUAAGUUCAAGGCGAAAGCCGAAAAUGUUCAAGUAAAAAAUCAAUAAGCAUAUAUUGUCAAAUCUUUAAUGAUUUUUUUGAAACACUUGAUUAAUUUUGAACGAAAGGGAAUACGGUUCCAAUUCCGUAACCUGUUGAGUAUCCGUUGGUUAUUAAAUAUGGGCCUCGUGCUCAUCCUGGCAACAGGAACGACCAUAAAGAAGCCGUCGAGAGAUAUCGGAAGAGUUUUCUUUUCUGUUUUAUAGCCGUACUACCAUGGAAGUCUUUCGCAGAGAGAUAUGGUAGAUGGGCUAGAAGAGCAUGACAUAUACUGUUGUGUCGAUAUUUUCUCCUCGGACCUUGAAAAUUUAUGGUGGGGACACGCAAACUUCUC
This 413-nucleotide ribosomal RNA is filed under the name Drosophila guanche. RNAcentral describes it as "eukaryotic LSU rRNA". It matches the Rfam family "Eukaryotic large subunit ribosomal RNA", at positions 1505 to 1838 of the family's 3401-position model. The record is from RNAcentral. Lineage: Eukaryota; Metazoa; Arthropoda; Insecta; Diptera; Drosophilidae.